GACGAACGCUGGCGGCGUGCUUAACACAUGCGAGUCGAACGGAAAGGCCCUGCUUGCAGGGUGCUCGAGUGGCGAACGGGUGAGUAACACGUGGGUGAUCUGCCCCUUACUUUGGGAUAAGCCUGGGAAACUGGGUCUAAUACUGGAUAGGACCAUGCUGUAGGUGGUGUGGUGGAAAGAUUAGUUUCGGUAAGGGAUGAGCUCGCGGCCUAUCAGCUUGUUGGUGGGGUAAUGGCCUACCAAGGCGUCGACGGGUAGCCGGCCUGAGAGGGUGGACGGCCACAUUGGGACUGAGAUACGGCCCAGACUCCUACGGGAGGCAGCAGUGGGGAAUAUUGCACAAUGGGCGCAAGCCUGAUGCAGCGACGCCGCGUGGGGGAUGACGGCCUUCGGGUUGUAAACUCCUUUCAGCCAUGACGAAGCCUUCGGGUGACGGUAGUGGUAGAAGAAGCACCGGCUAACUACGUG
RNAcentral lists this ribosomal RNA (468 nucleotides) under uncultured bacterium. RNAcentral describes it as "partial 16S ribosomal RNA". It matches the Rfam family "Bacterial small subunit ribosomal RNA", at positions 28 to 507 of the family's 1533-position model. The record is from RNAcentral.